Molecule: ribosomal RNA, 554 nt
Filed under: uncultured archaeon
Lineage: Archaea
Description: partial 16S ribosomal RNA
Source: RNAcentral
GUGCUCCCCCGCCAAUUCCUUUAAGUUUCAGCCUUGCGGCCGUACUUCCCAGGUGGCUCGCUUCACGGCUUCCCUACGGCACCGACCACGGUCGCACCGUGGCCGACACCUAGCGAGUAUCGUUUACGGCUAGGACUACCCGGGUAUCUAAUCCGGUUCGUGCCCCUAGCUUUCGUCCCUUGCCGUCAGAUCCGUUCUGGUGAGACGCCUUCGCCACUGGUGGUCCCUCAAGGAUUACAAGAUUUCACCCCUACCCCUGAGGUACCUCUCACCUCUCCCGGUCUCGAGCCGAUCAGUAUCUCCUGAAAGCCUGACAGUUAAGCUGCCAGAUUUCCCAAGAGACUUAAUCAGCCGGCUACAGACCCUUUAGACCCAAUAAUAGCGGUUACCACUCGAGCCGCCGGUGUUACCGCGGCGGCUGGCACCGGUCUUGCCCGGCCCUUGCUAUGCAAUGCUUUUUAGGCAUUACGACAGCCAGGAUUGUAUCCUGGCACUCGAGGUCCCCUUAUCGCUGUUUCCAGCAUUGUAAAGUUUUCGCGCCUGCUGCACCCCGU